RNAcentral lists this unclassified non-coding RNA (1394 nucleotides) under Hevea brasiliensis (rubber tree). Lineage: Eukaryota; Viridiplantae; Streptophyta; Magnoliopsida; Malpighiales; Euphorbiaceae. The record is from RNAcentral.
UCAUAAUCACCACCUACCAUUGGAAGAGGACCAUGGAAUGGGUCAGGUCCUGGUUCAGAUACAAUAUAAAAGGGUAAGGGUAUACGUCGAAAUAGAUGCUGCCUCUUUCGCUUCUUCUUAAGCUCCCAAGAUGAGGCAAACCUCGCUUUCCAAUUGGUCUUUCCCUGUGAUCCUGCUCCAGUUCCAAAUUCCUCAGUAAAUUUUUUCUUCCAUAAAUCAUUGUUUGAAGACAUAUACCGCAUCUCUUUACUCACACAUGCCAUUCUUGCAAUAUCAACACCAGGAAGUGACUCCAAAAUCCUGAGCUUUAGGUCUGCUGGAAGACGCACCAAGCAUGGGGGAAGACCCAAACCAGUCUUUUCACAAAGAUCUAUCAACAGUGGCAAAGCAAGCUGAUCCUUCACAAUUUUCCAAAGCUCAAAAACUUCAUUUUCAGGGUAAUACCUAGACGAUCCAUCAUUCUCAUUCAUCCUAUCACCCUUGUCACAAUUUACCAAGAGGCAACCAAUAGAUGGCACAAAUCUAGAUUUAUUCAAGCACGAUCUAUACAGGCACUGAUUCUUGGCCAAUGACCCAUAGACAUUGACAAAAUGCCCCAAAGUCUGAAACCUCAAAAUGACUGAUUCAGUAACAGUAUCAUCAAGUAAAAGUUCAGGAAGAGUAUAACUAACUGACGUAGUGAAGGACAUAGAAGACUGUUCUUCCAGGAGAUGAAACAGAUCAACUCGCAAUCCAGAUACUGAAUCAAACCCAACAAAACCAGAUUCUAAGAAAACAGCGUGAAUAGCUAUAAACAAGAGCUUAUUGUCACUAAUAUCAUCACCCAGUUCUUCCCUCAAUACCCUCUUCAAGAAACACGGCUCAGAAAUCCUCUUGAAAUCCACAUCCAAAGACCCAGUAUCAAUAUCCAUGCCUUCUUCACUUGACAAUUCUUCGGUUUCUAGGAUUUCUCCCAUCUGCGUAUUUGAUAUAAGAGACCGUUGUUCUUCAAUAACUUCAUCACCCGCGUCAGAUUGACCUUCUACGGGCAAAUCCAGAAUUAGGGUUUUCUCAAUUGAAGCACUAGUUCCUAGGAAUUUCGUUUCCUUUACAGACAAAUCUUGAUCCGGGGUUUCUUGUUUUCCAGUCAAAUUCGGACCAAAAGUGCUAGAUUCUUUGAAAUUCAUGGAUUGUGCUUGAAGAUUACCUCGUUGAGCUCGACCCUCUUCCUGCAAAGAUUGACCCGAGCCUGAAACUACCAUUUGAGGAGAACGUGAGAACACAUCUGGGUUGUGAGAGAAAUAGAUAAGGUCUCCGGAGGUGAUACCGAGAGAUUGCAGAGAGUCCUGGAGUGAGGACGAGGAGAGCUCCUCCUUUCUGUUGAGAGAGAAACAAAAAGAAGAAGAAGAAGAAGA